GUAUGACUAACUCCAACCAAAGGCAAUUUGGCGACAGAACUUAUAGCACUUUAACUAGUGAUAGAGCAAAGGAUAUGAGGUUCAGUAUGAGAGUUCCAGAUGUUAAUGGAAGUGCCAUAAAUGAGAAAGUCGAGUCCUAGAAGGAAGAAGUGAAGGAAGUUGAUUCCAAAGAUAACUUAUCGCUCAUGACACUAAGGAAAGCACUGAUAGUGUGUAAUGCAAGCCCAGGUGCCAAUACACAUUUCAAAUAAUCAAAGUGACAACAAAGUUCGAGAACUGGAACUUAAAGUUGAGUUGCUUGAAACUGCGCUGCGAGAAGCCGCUGCUUCCGCUGAGAUAGGCAUCUCCCAAGCCCUUGCGCAAGGGGCUCACCACUGCCACGCUGCUGAUACCCUGAAUGAUCUGGAAGCAACACAACGAGUGUGUUUUUGAUGGCCCCAGGUUCUCCGAGCUGGCACUCACAUUCCCCCGUACAGGCCAAUUUUUCUGACAAACAUAAUGUUGCCCAGGCUGCCUCUGGAUGAAGAAGGGAGGUAGGUAUACGGUACUGCGCUUGCUCUGAUAGAAAUACACUGUGAAGUAAUACUCCAGGUCCGCAUUACUUGAAGCCCUGGUAGCUCUCUCCAUAGACGUUUCUUGAUGUUUCAAGACAGACAGAUUCCAACAUAUAUGGACGUUUUCAGCUAAUGUCUGGCUCUCACCAUUACCGCAGACGAGAACAUUGUCUUCUUCUAAGGAAAUGCACUCAUGUGGAACCUUUUCAGUCAAGAACGUUUGGAACUUUGGAUUGUCUCGCAGUCACGGCAUUGCCACCCAUGGGUCACCCCACAGUCCACGUGCUUUAGUUCUCCAUCACAUGGUGAAGAGAACCACGGCUGGUCAUAUGUUUUUAAUCCUACACGAUACAUUGCAACUCUCUCGCUUGCCAUCUACUAGCAGUGUAUGUUUUCCCAUUAAUUGAUGGUUUUGUUGUCAUCUUGAAAGCAGUGUAGAAUAUACUAUUGUGUUUGUAUGGGCUGUGGCAU
Long non-coding RNA from Lolium rigidum, 1025 nucleotides. RefSeq lists it as uncharacterized. The transcript is spliced from 3 exons. The record is from RefSeq and is a predicted model, not a curated record. NCBI's taxonomy places the organism in Eukaryota, Viridiplantae, Streptophyta, Magnoliopsida, Poales, Poaceae.